GGUCUUGAAAAUUAAAAAAUUUGGCGGUAUUUUAGUCUUUUCAGAGGAACCUGUCCUGUAAUUGAUAGUCCACGAUAUAGGAAACUUUAUUUAUUAGUUUACAUAUCGUCGUAUAAAGAAUAUUUUAUAAGAAUAUGAAUGUUCUGAAUUUUUAAUUAAAAAGUAAAUCAGAUCAAGGUGUAGUAUAUAAUAAAGGAGAGAUGGGUUACAUUAAAUUUAUUUAAGGAUUAUUUUUAGGAUAAAAAUAUGAAUAUGGAUUUGAAAGUAAUUUUAAUUAGUUAAUUAAGAUGAUUUAAGCUCUAAAAUAUGCACACAUCGCCCGUCGCUCUUAA
Molecule: ribosomal RNA, 332 nt
Filed under: Spermophagus sp. 9 GJK-2015
Lineage: Eukaryota; Metazoa; Arthropoda; Insecta; Coleoptera; Chrysomelidae
Description: partial 12S ribosomal RNA
Source: RNAcentral